This 301-nucleotide ribosomal RNA is filed under the name uncultured bacterium. Its description in RNAcentral is "partial 16S ribosomal RNA". It matches the Rfam family "Bacterial small subunit ribosomal RNA", at positions 509 to 807 of the family's 1533-position model. The record is from RNAcentral.
CAGCAGCCGCGGUAAAACGAAGGGGGCUAGCGUUGUUCGGAAUUACUGGGCGUAAAGGGCGCGUAGGCGGCCAUUCAAGUUAGAUGUGAAAGCCCUGGGCUCAACCUAGGAAUUGCAUUUGAUACUGUUUGGCUUGAGUUCGGGAGAGGUGAGUGGAAUUCCCAGUGUAGAGGUGAAAUUCGUAGACAUUGGGAAGAACACCAGUGGCGAAGGCGGCUCACUGGACCGACACUGACGCUGAGGCGCGAAAACGUGGGGAGCAAACAGGAUUAGAUACCCCCGUAGUCCCUGUCUCUUAUAC